RNAcentral lists this long non-coding RNA (240 nucleotides) under Elaeis guineensis (African oil palm). Its description in RNAcentral is "long non-coding RNA (EGUI_LNC066500)". Lineage: Eukaryota; Viridiplantae; Streptophyta; Magnoliopsida; Arecales; Arecaceae. The record is from RNAcentral.
UGUCCUAGCUCUCUUCACCAACCCCGAAGUCGAGGCAUCUUUCCUCUUGUGGGUCUUGAGACCCUGGGCUAGCCUCCAAGCCAUGCUUGUGUCCAUGUCUACGAUAAAAAGAAAUCAACACGGCUUAGAGAUGGAAUAAGAAAAAUGAGAACCAAAAAAAAAAAAUGAAUGAAAUGAUGAAUCGGUACCGGCAGGAUUAAGAGGGCUCAGGCCGACGUUGAACAAAAAUUAUUCCCUCAG